Molecule: non-coding RNA, 29 nt
Filed under: Rattus norvegicus (Norway rat)
Lineage: Eukaryota; Metazoa; Chordata; Mammalia; Rodentia; Muridae
Source: RNAcentral
UCAGUGACGACAUCUUGGAUUUGUUCCUA